Molecule: ribosomal RNA, 253 nt
Filed under: uncultured bacterium
Lineage: Bacteria
Description: partial 16S ribosomal RNA
Rfam family: Bacterial small subunit ribosomal RNA
Source: RNAcentral
UACGAAGGGGGCUAGCGUUGUUCGGAAUUACUGGGCGUAAAGCGCACGUAGGCGGACAUUUAAGUCAGGGGUGAAAUCCCAGAGCUCAACUCUGGAACUGCCUUUGAUACUGGGUGUCUUGAGUAUGGAAGAGGUGAGUGGAAUUCCGAGUGUAGAGGUGAAAUUCGUAGAUAUUCGGAGGAACACCAGUGGCGAAGGCGACUUACUGGACACAUAUUGACGCUGAGGUGCGAAAGCGUGGGGAGCAAACAGG